GAUCAUCAAGACGACGUUCGAUAAGUCUCAUAAUCCAGCAGUGACAUCUAGCAGUAUGUAGUGGCAACUCAGUAGAAUAAAAGUAUGAAUUCCUGAGUGUAGUUAUCGUGUGAUUUAGUCCUUUUAUUAUGAGUCUCAACUUGAUGGAGGUCAUGAAAAACUCACCAGACCCCAUCAUCGAUCAUAUACCAGAUUAGCUCGAUUCGGGUUCAUUUGUGAAUCUCGUGAAAAUUCUUUUUCAGUAUUCAUACUUGCUUUGGCCCAAGAAUUUCUGAACUCAGUCUCGCAAAUCAUAUAAAAAUUCUCUUUUCUAUCA
RNAcentral lists this long non-coding RNA (316 nucleotides) under Elaeis guineensis (African oil palm). Its description in RNAcentral is "long non-coding RNA (EGUI_LNC004175)". The record is from RNAcentral. Lineage: Eukaryota; Viridiplantae; Streptophyta; Magnoliopsida; Arecales; Arecaceae.